This 458-nucleotide ribosomal RNA is filed under the name [Eubacterium] infirmum. Its description in RNAcentral is "bacterial SSU rRNA". It matches the Rfam family "Bacterial small subunit ribosomal RNA", at positions 28 to 485 of the family's 1533-position model. Lineage: Bacteria; Bacillati; Bacillota; Clostridia; Peptostreptococcales; Anaerovoracaceae. The record is from RNAcentral.
GAUGAACGCUGGCGGCGUGCCUAACACAUGCAAGUCGAGCGAGAAGUAAAGGAAUGAAGCUUCGGUAGAUUUUCAUUAUGGAAAGCGGCGGACGGGUGAGUAACGCGUAGGCAACCUGCCCUGUACAGGGGGAUAGCCACCCGAAAAGGUGAUUAAUACCCCAUGAUGCAAGAGAUACACAUGUAUCACUUGUCAAAGAUUUAUCGGUAUGGGAUGGGCCUGCGUCUGAUUAGCUAGUUGGUAGGGUAACGGCUUACCAAGGCAACGAUCAGUAGCCGACCUGAGAGGGUGAUCGGCCACAUUGGAACUGAGACACGGUCCAAACUCCUACGGGAGGCAGCAGUGGGGAAUAUUGCACAAUGGGGGAAACCCUGAUGCAGCAACGCCGCGUGAAGGAAGAAGGCCUUCGGGUUGUAAACUUCUGUCCUAGGGGAAGAAACAAAUGACAUACCCUGGAG